UACGAGAGGCCCAAACGUUAUUCGGAAUUACUGGGCUUAAAGAGUUCGUAGGCGGCGCAGAAAGUAGGGUGUGAAAGCCCUCGGCUCAACCGAGGAAUUGCGCUCUAAACUACUGUGCUUGAGGAAGCUAGAGGUGAGCGGAACUGAUGGUGGAGCGGUGAAAUGCGUUGAUAUCAUCAGGAACACCGGAGGCGAAGGCGGCUCACUGGGGCUUUUCUGACGCUGAGGAACGAAAGCUAGGGGAGCAAACGGG
RNAcentral lists this ribosomal RNA (253 nucleotides) under uncultured bacterium. Its description in RNAcentral is "partial 16S ribosomal RNA". It matches the Rfam family "Bacterial small subunit ribosomal RNA", at positions 524 to 776 of the family's 1533-position model. The record is from RNAcentral.